GAUGAACGCUGGCGGCGUGCCUAAUACAUGCAAGUCGAACGCAUAGCGAAAGGUGCUUGCACCUUUCAAGUGAGUGGCGAACGGGUGAGUAACACGUGGACAACCUGCCUCAAGGCUGGGGAUAACAUUUGGAAACAGAUGCUAAUACCGAAUAAAACUUAGUGUCGCAUGACACAAAGUUAAAAGGCGCUUCGGCGUCACCUAGAGAUGGAUCCGCGGUGCAUUAGUUAGUUGGUGGGGUAAAGGCCUACCAAGACAAUGAUGCAUAGCCGAGUUGAGAGACUGAUCGGCCACAUUGGGACUGAGACACGGCCCAAACUCCUACGGGAGGCUGCAGUAGGGAAUCUUCCACAGAGGGCGAAAGCCUGAUGGAGCAAUGCCGCGUGUGUGAUGAAGGCUUUCGGGUCGUAAAGCACUGUUGUAUGGGAAGAACAGCUAGAAUAGGAAAUGAUUUUAGUUUGACGGUACCAUACCAGAAAGGGACGGCUAAAUACGUG
This 497-nucleotide ribosomal RNA is filed under the name uncultured bacterium. Its description in RNAcentral is "partial 16S ribosomal RNA". It matches the Rfam family "Bacterial small subunit ribosomal RNA", at positions 28 to 507 of the family's 1533-position model. The record is from RNAcentral.